The sequence is a transfer RNA, 71 nucleotides long. It matches the Rfam family "tRNA". Rfam says of the family: Transfer RNA (tRNA) molecules are approximately 80 nucleotides in length. Their secondary structure includes four short double-helical elements and three loops (D, anti-codon, and T loops).
AACAAAAUGUAGCUUAAUUAUAAAGCUUUUCGUUUACACCGAAAUGUCAUCUGUUAAACCCAGAUCAUUUU